UGCGGCUUGCUACGCGAGCGCGAGGCUUGGCGAGUACACGGUGGGGACCGCUGGCGCUAAGUCAGAGGAAGGGGUGGUCGACGGUAGGUCAGUAUGCCCCGAAUAUCCCGGGCUACACGCGGGCUACAAUGGACAGGACAAUGGGCUACUACACCGAAAGGUGGCGUCAAUCUCUUAAACCUGUCCUUAGUUCGGAUUGAGGGCUGAAACUCGCCCUCAUGAAGAUGGAAUCCGUAGUAAUCGCAUUUCAAAACAGUGCGGUGAAUACGUCCCUGCUCCUUGCACAA
This 287-nucleotide ribosomal RNA is filed under the name uncultured archaeon. RNAcentral describes it as "partial 16S ribosomal RNA". It matches the Rfam family "Archaeal small subunit ribosomal RNA", at positions 1059 to 1343 of the family's 1478-position model. The record is from RNAcentral.